AACAGGAUUAGAUACCCUGGUAGUCCACGCCGUAAACGAUGAGUGCUAAGUGUUAGAGGGUUUCCGCCCUUUAGUGCUGCAGCUAACGCAUUAAGCACUCCGCCUGGGGAGUACGGUCGCAAGACUGAAACUCAAAGGAAUUGACGGGGGCCCGCACAAGCGGUGGAGCAUGUGGUUUAAUUCCAAGCAACGCGAAGAACCUUACCAGGUCUUGACAUCCUCUGACAACUCUAGAGAUAGAGCGUUCCCCUUCGGGGGACAGAGUGACAGGUGGUGCAUGGUUGUCGUCAGCUCGUGUCGUGAGAUGUUGGGUUAAGUCCCGCAACGAGCGCAACCCUUGAUCUUAGUUGCCAGCAUUUAGUUGGGCACUCUAAGGUGACUGCCGGUGACAAAUCGGAGGAAGGUGGGGAUGACGUCAAAUCAUCAUGCCCCUUAUGACCUGGGCUACACACGUGCUACAAUGGAUGGUACAAAGGGCUGCAAGACCGCGAGGUCAAGCCAAUCCCAUAAAACCAUUCUCAGUUCGGAUUGUAGGCUGCAACUCGCCUACAUGAAGCUGGAAUCGCUAGUAAUCGCGGAUCAGCAUGCCGCGGUGAAUACGUUCCCGGGCCUUGUACACACCGCCCGUCACACCACGAGAGUUUGUAACACCCGAAGUC
This 659-nucleotide ribosomal RNA is filed under the name uncultured Bacillus sp. RNAcentral describes it as "bacterial SSU rRNA". It matches the Rfam family "Bacterial small subunit ribosomal RNA", at positions 771 to 1428 of the family's 1533-position model. Lineage: Bacteria; Bacillati; Bacillota; Bacilli; Caryophanales; Bacillaceae. The record is from RNAcentral.